Molecule: ribosomal RNA, 388 nt
Filed under: uncultured bacterium
Lineage: Bacteria
Description: bacterial SSU rRNA
Rfam family: Bacterial small subunit ribosomal RNA
Source: RNAcentral
AACGAACGCUGGCGGCGCGCUUAACACAUGCAAGUCGAACGAGAAGCUGUAGCAAUACAGUUGUACAGUGGCGAACGGGUGAGGAAUACAUGGGUAACCUACCCUCGAGUGGGGAAUAACCAGCCGAAAGGCUGGCUAAUACCGCGUACGCUUCCCAAUCUGCGGGUUGGGAAGGAAAGCUCUACCGUGGGUAGAGCGCUCAAGGACGGGCUCAUGUCCUAUCAGCUUGUUGGAGGGUAACGGCCUACCAAGGCAACGACGGGUAGCUGGUCUGAGAGGACGAUCAGCCACACUGGCACUGCGACACGGGCCAGACUCCUACGGGAGCAGCAGUGAGGAAUAUUGCGCAAUGGGCGACAGCCUGACGCAGCGACGCCGCGGUGGGGGA